ACAGUGGACGCGAGCAUCUGUGGCCAAGUUUUUAAGGGCGCACGGUGGAUGCCUUGGCACCAGGAACCGAUGAAGGACGUGGGAGGCCGCGAUAGUCCCCGGGGAGUCGUCAACCAGGCUUUGAUCCGGGGGUUUCCGAAUGGGGAAACCCGGCAGUCGUCAUGGGCUGUCACCCACUGCUGAACACAUAGGCAGUGUGGAGGGAACGCGGGGAAGUGAAACAUCUCAGUACCCGCAGGAAGAGAAAACAACCGUGAUUCCGGGAGUAGUGGCGAGCGAAACUGGAUGAGGCCAAACCUACGACGUGUGAGACCCGGCAGGGGUUGCGUCGUGGGGGUUGUGGGAUCUCUCUUCCACGGUCUGCCGGCCGUGGGACGAGUCAGAAACCGUUGAUGUAGGCGAAGGACAUGCGAAAGGUCCGGCGUAGAGGGUAAGACCCCCGUAGUCGAAACGUCAGCGGCUCGUUUGAGAGACACCCAAGUAGCACGGGGCCCGAGAAAUCCCGUGUGAAUCUGGCGGGACCACCCGCUAAGCCUAAAUAUUCCCUGGUGACCGAUAGCGGAUAGUACCGUGAGGGAAUGGUGAAAAGUACCCCGGGAGGGGAGUGAAAUAGUACCUGAAACCGUGUGCCUACAAGCCGUGGGAGCGUCGGAAUGAAGCUUGCUCUGUUGUGGGGGAUAAGCUCCAUGGUCGAGAGGGAAACAGCCCAGAGCAUCGACUAAGGCCCCUAAGCGUACGCUAAGUGGGAAAGGAUGUGGAGUCGCAGAGACAACCAGGAGGUUGGCUUAGAAGCAGCCACCCUUGAAAGAGUGCGUAAUAGCUCACUGGUCUAGUGAUUCCGCGCCGACAAUGUAGCGGGGCUCAAGCGUACCGCCGAAGUCGUGUCAUUCAUACAUAUAGCCCCAACGGGUGUAUGGAUGGGUAGGGGAGCGUCGUCUGCCGGGUGAAGCGGCACUGGAAGGUAGUCGUGGACGGUUGACGAGUGAGAAUGCAGGCAUGAGUAGCGAUACAAACGUGAGAAACGUUUGCGCCGAUUGACUAAGGGUUCCUGGGUCAAGCUGAUCUGCCCAGGGUAAGUCGGGACCUAAGGCGAGGCCGACAGGCGUAGUCGAUGGAUAACCGGUUGAUAUUCCGGUACCCGCUGUGAAGCGCCAAACAUCGAAUCCAGUGAUGCUAAGCCCGUGAAACCGCCCGCUGCCGGCUUUGCCGUCAGUGGGAGUGGUGGAGCCGGUGACCCGAGCUGGUAGUAGGUGAGUGAUGGGGUGACGCAGGAAGGUAGUCCAUCCCGGGCGGUGGUUGUCCCGGGGUAAGGGUGUAGGACGGUGUGUAGGUAAAUCCGCACGCCAUGUGUCUGAGACCUGAUGCCGAGCCGAUUGUGGUGAAGUGGAUGAUCCUAUGCUGUCGAGAAAAGCCUCUAGCGAGUUUCAUGGCGGCCCGUACCCUAAACCGACUCAGGUGGUCAGGUAGAGAAUACCGAGGCGUUCGGGUGAACUAUGGUUAAGGAACUCGGCAAAAUGCCCCCGUAACUUCGGGAGAAGGGGGGCCACAUCCGGUGAUGAGCUUCGCGCUCUGAGCUGGGGGUGGCCGCAGAGACCAGCGAGAAGCGACUGUUUACUAAAAACACAGGUCCGUGCGAAGCCGUAAGGCGAUGUAUACGGACUGACGCCUGCCCGGUGCUGGAACGUUAAGGGGACCGGUUAGCUCACUUUCGGGUGGGCGAAGCUGAGAACUUAAGCGCCAGUAAACGGCGGUGGUAACUAUAACCAUCCUAAGGUAGCGAAAUUCCUUGUCGGGUAAGUUCCGACCUGCACGAAUGGCGUAACGACUUCUCGACUGUCUCAACCAUAGGCCCGGUGAAAUUGCACUACGAGUAAAGAUGCUCGUUUCGCGCAGCAGGACGGAAAGACCCCGGGACCUUUACUACAGUUUGAUAUUGGUGUUCGGUUCGGCUUGUGUAGGAUAGCUGGGAGACUGUGAAGCAGGCACGCCAGUGUUUGUGGAGUCGUCGUUGAAAUACCAGUCUGGUCGUGCUGGAUGUCUAACCUGGGUCCGUGAUCCGGAUCAGGGACAGUGUCUGAUGGGUAGUUUAACUGGGGCGGUUGCCUCCUAAAGGGUAACGGAGGCGCCCAAAGGUUCCCUCAGCCUGGUUGGCAAUCAGGUGUUGAGUGUAAGUGCACAAGGGAGCUUGACUGUGAGACCGACGGGUCGAGCAGGGACGAAAGUCGGGACUAGUGAUCCGGCGGUGGCUUGUGGAAGCGCCGUCGCUCAACGGAUAAAAGGUACCCCGGGGAUAACAGGCUGAUCUUCCCCAAGAGUCCAUAUCGACGGGAUGGUUUGGCACCUCGAUGUCGGCUCGUCGCAUCCUGGGGCUGGAGUCGGUCCCAAGGGUUGGGCUGUUCGCCCAUUAAAGCGGUACGCGAGCUGGGUUUAGAACGUCGUGAGACAGUUCGGUCCCUAUCCGCUGUGCGCGUAGGAGUCUUGAGAAGGGCUGUCCCUAGUACGAGAGGACCGGGACGGACGAACCUCUGGUGUGCCAGUUGUUCUGCCAAGGGCAUGGCUGGUUGGCUACGUUCGGGAGGGAUAACCGCUGAAAGCAUCUAAGCGGGAAGCCUGCUUCGAGAUGAGGACUCCCACCCACUUGAUGGGGUAAGGCUCCCAGUAGACGACUGGGUUGAUAGGCCGGAUCUGGAAGCACGGUAACGUGUGGAGGUGACCGGUACUAAUAGGCCGAGGGCUUGUCCUCAGUUG
RNAcentral lists this ribosomal RNA (2748 nucleotides) under Streptomyces sp. FBKL.4005. RNAcentral describes it as "bacterial LSU rRNA". It matches the Rfam family "Bacterial large subunit ribosomal RNA". Lineage: Bacteria; Bacillati; Actinomycetota; Actinomycetes; Kitasatosporales; Streptomycetaceae. The record is from RNAcentral.